RNAcentral lists this ribosomal RNA (631 nucleotides) under uncultured bacterium. Its description in RNAcentral is "bacterial SSU rRNA". It matches the Rfam family "Bacterial small subunit ribosomal RNA", at positions 39 to 677 of the family's 1533-position model. The record is from RNAcentral.
GCGGCGUGCUUACACAUGCAAGUCGAACGGAAAGGCCCCUUCGGGGGUAUUCGAGUGGCGAACGGGUGAGUAACACGUGGGUGACCUGCCCUGCACUUCGGGAUAAGCCUGGGAAACUGGGUCUAAUACCGGAUAGGACCGCAUCGUGAGGAUGUGGUGGAAAGUUUUUUCGGUGCAGGAUGGGCCCGCGGCCUAUCAGCUUGUUGGUGGGGUAAUGGCCUACCAAGGCGGCGACGGGUAGCCGGCCUGAGAGGGUGGACGGCCACAUUGGGACUGAGACACGGCCCAGACUCCUACGGGAGGCAGCAGUGGGGAAUAUUGCACAAUGGGCGCAAGCCUGAUGCAGCGACGCCGCGUGGGGGAUGAAGGCCUUCGGGUUGUAAACUCCUUUCAUCAUCGACGAAGGGCUCACUUGUUGUGGGUUUGACGGUAGGUGGAGAAGAAGCACCGGCUAACUACGUGCCAGCAGCCGCGGUAAUACGUAGGGUGCGAGCGUUGUCCGGAAUUACUGGGCGUAAAGAGCUCGUAGGUGGUUUGUCGCGUCGUCUGUGAAAUUCCGGGGCUUAACUCCGGGCGUGCAGGCGAUACGGGCAUAACUUGAGUGCUGUAGGGAAACUGGAAUUCCUGUGUA